AUUGAACGCUGGCGGCAGGCCUAACACAUGCAAGUCGAACGGUAGCACAGAGAGCUUGCUCUCGGGUGACGAGUGGCGGACGGGUGAGUAAUGUCUGGGAAACUGCCUGAUGGAGGGGGAUAACUACUGGAAACGGUAGCUAAUACCGCAUAACGUCGCAAGACCAAAGUGGGGGACCUUCGGGCCUCAUGCCAUCAGAUGUGCCCAGAUGGGAUUAGCUGGUAGGUGAGGUAACGGCUCACCUAGGCGACGAUCCCUAGCUGGUCUGAGAGGAUGACCAGCCACACUGGAACUAAGACACGGUCCAGACUCCUACGGGAGGCAGCAGUGGGGAAUAUUGCACAAUGGGCGCAAGCCUGAUGCAGCCAUGCCGCGUGUAUGAAGAAGGCCUUCGGGUUGUAAAGUACUUUCAGCGAGGAGGAAGGCGAUAAGGUUAAUAACCUUGUCGAUUGACGUUACUCGCAGAAGAAGCACCGGCUAACUCCGUGCCAGCAGCCGCCGUAA
This 504-nucleotide ribosomal RNA is filed under the name uncultured bacterium. RNAcentral describes it as "partial 16S ribosomal RNA". It matches the Rfam family "Bacterial small subunit ribosomal RNA", at positions 30 to 523 of the family's 1533-position model. The record is from RNAcentral.